Molecule: ribosomal RNA, 492 nt
Filed under: uncultured bacterium
Lineage: Bacteria
Description: partial 16S ribosomal RNA
Rfam family: Bacterial small subunit ribosomal RNA
Source: RNAcentral
AGUGAACGCUGGCGGUAGGCCUAACACAUGCCAGUCGAACGGCAGCACAGUAAGAGCUUGCUCUUACGGGUGGCGAGUGGCGGACGGGUGAGGAAUACAUCGGAAUCUACUUUUUCGUGGGGGAUAACGUAGGGAAACUUACGCUAAUACCGCAUACGACCUACGGGUGAAAGCAGGGGAUCUUCGGACCUUGCGCGAUUGAAUGAGCCGAUGUCGGAUUAGCUAGUUGGCGGGGUAAAGGCCCACCAAGGCGACGAUCCGUAGCUGGUCUGAGAGGAUGAUCAGCGACACUGGAAGUGAGACACGGUCAAGACUCCUACGGGAGGCAGCAGUGGGGAAUAUUGGACAAUGGGCGCAAGCCUGAUCCAGCCAUACCGCGUGGGUGAAGAAGGCCUUCGGGUUGUAAAGACCUUUUGUUGGGAAAGAAAAGCAGCAGGUUAAUACCCCGCUGUUCUGACGGUACCCAAAGAAUAAGCACCGGCUAACUUCGUG